ACAUUACUAGCAGAGAAUUUUAAAAAAAAUUCUGUAAGAAUAUGAAAAUAAAUGUCUUUUAAGAUGAAUAAGACAUGGCACAAUUCUAAAUAAUGUAUCACUAUUGUUAUAAGCUUGGAUAUUAUUGCCCUUUUCUCCCAAAGAAGCCGUAUAUAUUGCAGAUACAAAAGGGUUUUGUGUUUAGUGUUGGUUUUUUUUUAAAACAUUAUGCCAAGUUGCUGUUUUCAAACACAUGUUGAUGCUGGGAAGAAAUGGGCAUGUAUCCAUCUUGCCUUCAGGCCAAACCAUUUAACCAGAACUGGGAAUACUGACAAACUUUCUCAACCCUUCUCUCUCUCUCUCUCUCCAAUGCAAUUGUAUAAAGCAGCCCUUUUCAGAGGUCUCUAUGAAAAUGACCACUAUAAAUAUCACACUCUGUGCUUCUGUUUAUCAAGUGGAAAAUUAUUUUUAACAUACUUCUAGAGAAAGGUAACAGGUAAUAGCUAACGUUCUCACACCCAUUUUAAAGGAGGAUGUGUCAGUCUAUAAAUCAAUAGCUGGCUCGAAGCCAUUUGCUUCUGAAUGGAAACCAACUAUUUUUGCAGAGCUCUGCUCACAGCAGCUGAGCAUCAAUGCUUAGUAAUGUGUAGCUAUUAGGGAAAAACUGAGCAUGACUACACAAAUCAUAGAGCCCCUGAUGAAGAUCUCUGCACAUGGCUGCUUCUUCUAAUCACCAGCAGAAUUUAAUGAGACACCUGCAGUUUAUAAACAUUCUUGUUCCAACAUAAAUUGCCCUGAGAGCACAAAGCCUUCUUUUAAAAAAUAUUCUUCAGUAACCCAUAAACCACAAAGAGUUCAUUGUCACUAAUAACAUACUCCUCAUUAAGUUAUAAUGGUAUGAAACAAUAGUCCCUCAUACAUAGCAGAUCUGAAGAUUAAGUUGGAGGGUGUUAAGAUCUCCUAAUUAGUAGUUUUGUACUAUUUAGGUUUUCAUUAAUAACACAGGGCUGGAGACCUUGAAAUUGACCCCUUACAAGGCUGCAAAAACAGUAAUUCUUCAUAAAUCUGACCCAUAUGAGGCAAGGGAGAGGACUGAAUGCAUCCCAUGGUUCUCUAAGUAGGAACAAGCUCAGGCAGGUUGAGAUUCCUCCUCUGCUUGAAGCUGCAAGGGCAUUCAGCUGUGGCCACAGAUGCUCCUGCCUUGCCUUCAUCCUUCCACUGUAGUGAGAGGGCAGCUUGGACUGCCAAAAAACCAUCAAGGCAGCUCAUCAGAAUGCCAGAAAGGAUAAAGGUUAAGUAUACCUUGUCAUAAUUUAUCAGAUCUGCAGAGAGGAGGCAAUAACCCCCCUUGUUUUCUAAUCACCAACGCAUUCUUUGCUGCUUGGCGCAGGAAACAGAGAACGGUGUCUGCUGAAAGUGAGAACAAACCUGGCUCCUCUGAAUCAGUGGGCUCAGAGAGCAAGCAAGGGCUUGUUGCUGAGAGUUAGGGAUAUUGUCAUCCACCAAGUCAGCAGCUGGAAAUUGCUGGCAUGAAUUGCUGAAUUUCUGGGACACCUUGGGGCUUUAUUGUCUUGAGCCAGAACUUGGAGUGGCCACAGCACAGAAGCCUAUCAAACUCUCUUCAGUGGGUGCACAGGCUUCCCAGGAAUUCUGCUACAAGCUGUUUUGCUACCACUGACAACAGCAUUUUGACUUUUUAACAUCACAGAUGAAUACUGAAGGAUCUUUGGUGUAAUUUUGUGGCAAAUAUUUGAGAGUUACUAAAAGACUUUCCUUGGAAGGCCCCUCAGAAAUUACUUGUCAAGCAUGAAGACAAUCAAAUCCUGGCAGCAUUUGCAUUUGAUGUCCAUCCAGAUCAACUUACUGAGUAAUAGAAUUAUCUCAGUCUGACAUUUGAGGUCACCAAGAGGAUUUCUGGGCCAAAGAUGUGAGCAGACCGUAUCUCAGUCGGGCUCCUUGAUGUCUCAUCAGGACAAAAACAGCUUCUCUCUUCUGUGAGGAGUUUUCACCUACAGAUGUCUAUUGUUACAUGUGGGCCCAUGAUUUUCUUGGCAACUUUUCAAACCUGGGCUUUUUCAAGAUUAUUUCCAUGCUCACAGAAUAGUUGGAUGUUUGGAAUUUGGCAGACUUGAAGAAAAAGAUCUGCAAAAGGGAAUUCAGGGUUCAGAAAGUCACACUCAUGUUAUCAGUAUUUUAAUUUGCCCCAAAAUCGGGCUUAAAUCCAGAAGGAAUCAUUAAAUACUGUAAUCUUCUGUAGAUCACAGGCUUUCAUACAGUUACCCUUUGUUGAGCCCCAAAAUUUUUUGUUUGAUUAGUCAUUUCUUCCAUGUGAGAUUUGAUUGUUGAUUUGAAGACAUCCAGACAUGGAAAGCCCUUCACUUCUCUUCCUGGUUUGUUCCAGUGGCUAAUCACUCUCACUUGUUUCUCAAUUAAGUCUGCCUGAUGCUGGUUUCCAGCCACUUUUUUUUCCAAUGUCUUUCUCGUGAUGUAAGACAGCUUUGGGUAAGGCAGGGUCAGGCACUGGCACGCUAUGUUCGCUCAAGCAAAAUGCUCCGCAAGAAUGCUUGUUGGCAUUUUUAAUUAAAAAACUAUUUGCCUACUUAUUUAAAUGAAUUGAAAUUUAAAAAAUCCACAGCAAAUUGGUGUUUUAUACAGCAUUUUAAAAGGCAUUGAGUGCUCUAUAAGCAUAUGGUUUUAUUUUAAUGUUUCUCUAGGCAGCUAUUAUUGAGAACUGACAAAAUAAAAAAAACUAUGUAUUUGUUCUUCUGCUUUGUAUAAUAAACAACUGCAUUCUUUUCUA
Corvus hawaiiensis (hawaiian crow) is the source of this 2779-nucleotide long non-coding RNA. RefSeq lists it as uncharacterized. The transcript has 2 exons. The record is from RefSeq and is a predicted model, not a curated record. Lineage: Eukaryota; Metazoa; Chordata; Aves; Passeriformes; Corvidae.